Molecule: ribosomal RNA, 492 nt
Filed under: uncultured bacterium
Lineage: Bacteria
Description: partial 16S ribosomal RNA
Rfam family: Bacterial small subunit ribosomal RNA
Source: RNAcentral
AGUGAACGCUGGCGGUAGGCCUAACACAUGCAAGUCGAACGGCAGCACAGUAAGAGCUUGCUCUUACGGGUGGCGAGUGGCGGACGGGUGAGGAAUACAUCGGAAUCUACUUUUUCGUGGGGGAUAACGUAGGGAAACUUACGCUAAUACCGCAUACGACCUACGGGUGAAAGCAGGGGAUCUUCGGACCUUGCGCGAUUGAAUGAGCCGAUGUCGGAUUAGCUAGUUGGCGGGGUAAAGGCCCGCCAAGGCGACGAUCCGUAGCUGGUCUGAGAGGAUGAUCAGCCACACUGGAACUGAGACACGGUCCAGACUCCUACGGGAGGUAGCAGUGGGGAAUAUUGGACAAUGGGCGCAAGCCUGAUCCAGCCAUACCGCGUGGGUGAAGAAGGCCUUCGGGUUGUAAAGCCCUUUUGUUGGGAAAGAAAAGCAGCAGGUUAAUACCCCGCUGUUCUGACGGUACCCAAAGAAUAAGCACCGGCUAACUUCGUG